AACUAUAUGAAAAUCUCAAUU
This 21-nucleotide microRNA is filed under the name Rehmannia glutinosa. RNAcentral describes it as "rgl-miR7807a-5p". The record is from miRBase by way of RNAcentral. Lineage: Eukaryota; Viridiplantae; Streptophyta; Magnoliopsida; Lamiales; Orobanchaceae.